CAUCCCCUGCGCGAUUGGUGAUGGAUCCACCAUUUCGUAGAGCCAACUCUUAUCCCGCGGGAGUCCGGAUUCCAUUCACCCGUGCAAGCCUCGCCAGUACGAGGAAGCUGACGGUGCAUGGAGAGGGCACCCACCUAGUACCUGUUGGUUCUAGCCGGGAGCGGUCCACACGGUCGAGCGGGGGAUGC
RNAcentral lists this non-coding RNA (188 nucleotides) under Acidobacteriota bacterium. RNAcentral describes it as "Acidobacteria bacterium 6S RNA". It matches the Rfam family "6S / SsrS RNA". Rfam says of the family: E. coli 6S RNA was the first non coding RNA to be sequenced, but its function was unknown until recently. It consists of 184 nucleotides that fold into an extended hairpin structure with a large single-stranded internal bulge. Lineage: Bacteria; Pseudomonadati; Acidobacteriota. The record is from RNAcentral.